Molecule: long non-coding RNA, 457 nt
Organism: Trifolium pratense (red clover)
Lineage: Eukaryota; Viridiplantae; Streptophyta; Magnoliopsida; Fabales; Fabaceae
Exons: 3
Source: RefSeq, a predicted model, not a curated record
CAGACAUGUACCAGAAAGAAUCUUCGAUGCAGUGAAAAAGCUUCAAUUGUCCCGCACCGACAUCCUAAAAUGGAUAACAGCGCAUGGAUCGAUAUCGCAACUUGAAAGUGAAAUCAUACAUUUUAUUUUUGAGAUAACUUGUUUUUAUUUUUAAAAUUCUUCUCAUUCUGGUGUAUGACAGAAACCGAGAGACAUAGUUUAGAGCAGCAUACUAGAAAAUCUCUCUCAGUGAAAGUAGGGGGAAUCAAGUGUAUGGUAGAAAGUCAUUAUAUAUCUAAUCAAGAUUUUCUUGAGGAAGAAAUCAAAGAAUGGUGGUCUAACACCUCAAAAGCAGGUGUUGAGAUUCCAUCUGAAGAAGAUCUAAUUGCAAAUUUUAAAAAGAAACAACUGUUAGGCUUGUAGCCAUUUAUUAAGCAUGUGUUUUGGAACGGCGUUUACAAGCAACAGCAACUUCUCA